Acanthopagrus latus (yellowfin seabream) is the source of this 1250-nucleotide RNA transcript. It is a transcript of the gene named coiled-coil-helix-coiled-coil-helix domain containing 7, with no coding region annotated. The record is from RefSeq and is a predicted model, not a curated record. Lineage: Eukaryota; Metazoa; Chordata; Actinopteri; Spariformes; Sparidae. The transcript is spliced from 5 exons.
UGACGGUGUGGGUGAUUUUCCUGGUGCGCUGUUGCAGCAACGACACUGGGGCUGUCUUGAGCAUGACGGGAAGGUUGUACCUACCCUAUGGCUAGUGUAGCUUUAUCCGCUAGCCACAUGUAGUGUACAGCUGCUCACUAGCUUGUUGGAGCAGGAGAAUGUUAGCAUUCCAAACGAUACAUAUGUCAAUGCCAGUUUUGAAUUGCUAAAAGAAUGCGUGAAUAGGCAUCGGGAGUUAUUUUGGUCAUUUUACUUUGAAAAUCUGGAUAACCUUCACUGGUGUCCACAAAUCACUGGAAACAAGUUGGUUAAAGAUGCAAAUGGAUAAAAAAUCAAGAAAAGUUCGGAAUCAGGACAUUAACCCAUGCAUUGAAGAAAGUGAUGCCUCCCAGAAGUGUUUGGACGCCUACAACUAUGACAAAAGCAUGUGUUCAGCCUAUUUCCAGAGAUAUAAGAACUGCAGGAAAUACUGGAGGAUGUCAGUUGAGUAGGCGGUCCUUCAGCGUGGCCCAGGAUACAUGUGGACACGCUGUUAAAAGACUGUGUUCAAAUGCAGCCCAGCCCACCCCCGAAUGUGAUCUGAGUGAUCGGAUUGAAAAAGUGUCCUCAGUACAUGUUGGCUGCAUUCGCAUCUGUACUUGGAGCUGUCCACUUGAGACUGGAUCCCUCAGGAUGCAUCUUAAUGCCAUGUGUCUGGAAGGGGCUUUAGUUUAUACACAACAUCAUGCUGGAGAGGAGAAGAGAAGGCGUGAAACCCGACAUGCCAACUGCUGCAGAGAGGCAGGAGCGGCUCGCUGCUCUCGGAGGCAAACCAUACUAAGAGUCAACUGAGUGGACACUGAAGACCAGCAGACCCACACGCUCACUUACUACAGGGCAGCACUUUCCCAUGGUGCCACUACCACACCUAGGAUGGGUGGGUACUGUGGUCCAAGGCCAGGCCUGUCCUCCUUUCUCAGGUUGUGUGGAGGUGGCUAUGCGUCGCUGGUCCUUUCUCAAAUAAAAUGUAAGAAGCAGGAAGUAACAGAAUAAGAGGAUCGCAAAUAAAUAAUAUACCUCAAUACAGUGGUUUGUGUUUGAAGGGUAAAGUCCGGUGCAUGUUUUGAAUUAUUAAAUUAUUACAAAACCAAUUUACAACUGUGUAAAGGUGUGUUCAAGGUCCUUAAAAAUUAUACACAUGGUUGAACCCAUGAGUUCAUGUGUCAAAGAACCUGUGUCAAUGAUUAAUACAUGGUGAAGUGUGCAGCCUG